RNAcentral lists this transfer RNA (71 nucleotides) under Aeromonas phage phiAS5. It matches the Rfam family "tRNA". From Rfam's summary of the family: Transfer RNA (tRNA) molecules are approximately 80 nucleotides in length. Their secondary structure includes four short double-helical elements and three loops (D, anti-codon, and T loops). Further hydrogen bonds mediate the characteristic L-shaped molecular structure. tRNAs have two regions of fundamental functional importance: the anti-codon, which is responsible for specific mRNA codon recognition, and the 3' end, to which the tRNAs corresponding amino acid is attached (by aminoacyl-tRNA synthetases). tRNAs cope with the degeneracy of the genetic code in two manners: having more than one tRNA (with a specific anti-codon) for a particular amino acid; and 'wobble' base-pairing, i.e. permitting non-standard base-pairing at the 3rd anti-codon position. The record is from Rfam by way of RNAcentral. Lineage: Duplodnaviria; Heunggongvirae; Uroviricota; Caudoviricetes; Pantevenvirales; Straboviridae.
GCUCUUAUAGUUCAGUGGCAGAACAAGUGAUUUGUAACCAUUAGACCUCAGUUCGAUUCUGAGUUGGAGCA